Molecule: transfer RNA, 90 nt
Filed under: Haematospirillum jordaniae
Lineage: Bacteria; Pseudomonadati; Pseudomonadota; Alphaproteobacteria; Rhodospirillales; Novispirillaceae
Also listed under: 4 other names
Description: tRNA-Ser
Rfam family: tRNA
About the family: Transfer RNA (tRNA) molecules are approximately 80 nucleotides in length. Their secondary structure includes four short double-helical elements and three loops (D, anti-codon, and T loops).
Source: RNAcentral
GGAGAGGUGCCGGAGCGGUCGAACGGGGCGGUCUCGAAAACCGUUGUACCCGCAAGGGUACCGUGGGUUCGAAUCCCACCCUCUCCGCCA